GGUUUUUAAAUAUAGCAGGGGACGAUUACCCAGGCAGGGUCCACCCAGGCCUAAGGGAGGAGUUGAGGGGGAUGGAGGUUGGCCGGGGAGGGAAAAUAAAACUCCCUUUUUCCCCUCUUUUUUCCUUCUGUUCUUGGUGCAGGACUCAGUCUGUCAUUUUCUCGACCCAGAUCAAACAACGGCUUGCGAGAGACGCUUGGGUGAGCGCUGGAAACUGAGCCUUGGAGAGGCUAAAGAACCAUCCCAAGGCCACAAGCAGCAGAACCAAGGAUUGGAAGAAGGUGGAACCAACUGGAAUUUCUCUGAUAAUCACAACCGUAUGUGCAACUUCCAGGAUCCCUGAGGGACUGUUCUGGAACAAGGAUUGGUGCGAAGAGACAGAGGGAGAGAGAUAGUGAGAGCAGGAACACAAGCAGGGGGAGUGGGAGAAGGAGAAGCAAGCUUCCGGCGGAGCAGGGAGCCCGAUGCGGGGCUCGAUCCCAGGACCCCGGGAUCAUGACCUGAGCUGAAGGCGGACGCUUAACGACUGAGCCACCCAGGCCCCCUAAAAUUCACCUGUUUUAAGUGUACAGGUUGAUGGGUUUUGACUGCAGCACAAUCAAGAUACAGAACAUGUACGUCUCCCCUCAAAGGUUCCUAGCCCCUUGGCAGUUAUCCCUCCUCCCCUCAAGCAACCAUUGAUCUGCUUUCUGUCACUAUAGAUUAGUUUUGCUUUUUCUAGAAUUUUCUUCUUUGUGUCUAUUUAUAGCUCUUGCUCUUUCUUCAAGGACCAUUACCCAUUCACUAAAACAACAACAGUGACAGUACACACAGAAUUGGUCUUGUCCUUUUUCUAGAACUACCCAAAACUGACAGGCGCUUCAUCUUCUUCUCACCUGUAGCAGGGUGUGGCCAGGCAGGAAGGUGGGAGGGGAGGGGAGCAGCUCAGCACAUUCAACCACUGCUAGAGGCAGAGUGACUGGCGAGGGUUAUCUGACUUCUGGGCAGGCUGUAAGAACCAGACCCAGUUCUGCGUUCUGAGCCUCUGUGUCCUCACCAGUAGCAUGGAAGAAAAAAUAGUAACAACAGUAACAUCCACUCGUGGGGUUGGUGUGAGGGUUCCCUGAGAUUACAGUUUCUGAUACAGAGUACUUCUCAAAUGUAUGUUAAUUCACUCUUUCUCCCCCUUACCCUGCUUGCCUCCCACUGGAAGCUCUGCAACCAACUCUCUCCUCUGAACACUGGACAGAGUCCCACUUUUUUCCCUUCUCUCCUACAUGCAUACAGGGUUUAAAACAACAACAAUAACAACAGUAAUUCUGAUGACAGUGUGCCUUCAGUUUCUGCCACUGUUUUUUCCCUAAUUUCUGGUUGUGGUCGGACUCAAGGAGAUCACAGGAGAGCCAGCAAGCAGGCUAUUUGUUGUCAGCAGCAGGAACAAGACCCGCAGACUUCAUUUUCAAGUUAGGAGGACACUGAGGCCAGAGAAGUGGGGGGAUUCAACCCAAUCACAGAGCUCACGCAGCAAAGACUGGUUGGAGUCUGUUACGGGCUGCACUGGGACCCCCUACCCCCAAACGCGUAGGUUGAAAUGGUAACCUCCUGUACUUCAGAAUGUGAGGGCCAAGAGAUAAUUGAGUUAGAUGAGGUCAUUAGGGUGGGCCCUAAUCAAAUGACUGGUGUUCUUAUAAGAAAAGGACGAGGACACAGGUAGGCAGCGGGAAAACAUGUGAAGACACACCAAGGAGGCAGCCAUCCGCAGGCCGAGGAGAGAGGCUUUGGAAGAAAUCAAACCUUCUGACACCUUGAUCUUGGACUUCUAGCCUCCAGCCUGUGAGGAAAUAAAUUUCUGUCGCUUGAGCCACCCAGUCUGUGGUAUUUUGUUAUGGCGGCCAGAGCAGACUCAUACAGAAUCCGAGUAUUCUGGCUGAUUCUCUGAAGGUUUGCUCUCUUCCAACUUCAAGGAGUUCCUUCAGGUUAUUUGGAACCUUGAAACAACCUGGAUUUUGGAAUUUAACAAAAAGGAAGGAAACCAGGUUUUACUGGAAGCCUGCUGUCACACGGUGCUGUGCCCUUUUAUGUGUGUUACUUCGCUCUUUAGGUGUUUAUGGAACACCUUCUAUGUGCCAGGCACGAUUCUGAGUGCUGUGGACACAGCUACAGACAAUGAAAGUAAAAUCCCUGCCUUCAUAGAACCUACAUUCUAGAGGAAGAGACAGAUGAUAAACACGAAUGAACAAAAUACAUGGGGCUAUGGAGAAACAAUAAAGCAGAGGAGAAGGGUAAGGGGUUGCCAAGGGAGGGAGGGGAAAUCCUUAGGCUUUUUAAUUGAAGAGAGUUGGGGAGUUUGUCCUGGAAGCUUCAAUGACAAAGAGGCAGUUGAGUGAGCACUCAAAGGAGGAGGGGGAGGGAGCUAUGCUGAUGCUUGAGGGAAGAAGGUUCCAGAACGGCAACCUCCAAGACUCCUAAGCAGGAGUAUGCCAGAUGUGUUCAGGAAAAAUGUUAUUUAGACCUCACGUCCACAUUGGGAGGUGCAUAGCAUCCCUUCAUCUGGAGAAGAAGAAACCUCAAGUGGGAGAAGUCACUCCCAUGAGGUCACCCAGACAAGAGCAGGUAAUGCCCUUCUUUCUCCAGAGGCUGGGAGCACAAUAGGGCAGAUGGGAUGAAUAUGGAGAGCCCUCCACGUGGUUUCUUCUUUGUUAGGCCCCAUUAUUUACCAUUACGCCCCAGGGCUACACAAGUUGGUGCCUCUCCAGACGCAGGGCCUCAGGCACUUCACCAGGAGCAGCCCUGCCUGCCCCUGCGGCCUUUAGCUCUGCUUGUCACAGGCAUCGCUGUACCCAGGUGCCAGCCUUCCAGGGCCCUGGGACUAUAAAAUCUGAGAGCAGUUGAGGAGAGGCAGAAGCAGACCAUCAAGCUGAAGCUUAAAGUAAGCUCUGGAACAGCUCUGGAGGAGCGAGAGAAGUUUCAUAAGGAAUGUUUGAUAGUAGGGUAGUUUAGUAAGAUAUAAUUCUUCCCUAUGGGUUAUAGAAUUGUUUUUUUCUUUUUUUUUUUUUAAAGAUUUUAUUUAUUUAUUAUUUGAGACAGAGAGAA
Long non-coding RNA from Mirounga angustirostris (Northern elephant seal), 3072 nucleotides. RefSeq lists it as uncharacterized. The transcript has 3 exons. The record is from RefSeq and is a predicted model, not a curated record. Lineage: Eukaryota; Metazoa; Chordata; Mammalia; Carnivora; Phocidae.